UGAGGAAUCUUGGACAAUGGGCGCAAGCCUGAUCCAGCCAUGCCGCGUGGAUGAUGAAGGCCUUAGGGUUGUAAAAUCCUUUCGCCGAGGACGAUAAUGACGGUACUCGGAGAAGAAGCUCCGGCUAACUUCGUGCCAGCAGCCGCGGUAAUACGAAGGGGGCUAGCGUUGUUCGGAUUUACUGGGCGUAAAGCGCGUGUAGGCGGGUCGUUAAGUUGGGGGUGAAAUCCCGAGGCUCAACCUCGGAACUGCCUUCAAAACUGGCGACCUGGACCUAAGUAGAGGCAAGUGGAAUUGCGAGUGUAGAGGUGAAAUUCGUAGAUAUUCGCAGGAACACCAGUGGCGAAGGCGACUUGCUGGACUUAUGGUGACGCUGAGACGCGAAAGCGUGGGGAGCAAACAGGAUUAGAUACCCGGGUAGUCCCUGAGCGGGCUGGCAAGGCGCAU
RNAcentral lists this ribosomal RNA (447 nucleotides) under uncultured bacterium. RNAcentral describes it as "bacterial SSU rRNA". It matches the Rfam family "Bacterial small subunit ribosomal RNA", at positions 355 to 825 of the family's 1533-position model. The record is from RNAcentral.